UCAACCGUCAAGCCUGGCUUGUUAUUGGGUUUUAUAUCGUUAAAGAUAGACCUAAAAGAUAAUGACGGUGUUAAUAAUGAUCUCCGGUGCAGCGAGCUUAAAAGCAUACACCGUGAUGAUUUUAUUAAUCCCAGUCUAUUUUGGUUAAACAUUUCAGUUAAACCACUUCUAA
RNAcentral lists this unclassified non-coding RNA (172 nucleotides) under uncultured Ascomycota. RNAcentral's name for it is "sequence contains ITS2". Lineage: Eukaryota; Fungi; Ascomycota. The record is from RNAcentral.